GUUAACUGGUUAGAUGUGAUCCUGGUGUUUUUAUGUUUUGUUGUUUCUUCUAUUGUAUUAGAACGAUACAGAUUCAAUAGAAGAUUGAAGAAACAAAUUGAACUGCUGAGGAGAACGUCAGUACACCACGAUUUACUUGUGAGCAGAUUGUCCCCCUUUCUCGAGGACUGCCGAAGCAAGAAUUCAUGUAUUGAGAUGCCAUUGAGGAAACUUAACAGGAAUAUAAAUAAAUUGGUCACGGAAAUUGAAAACCACACUACUGAACUGGAAAAGAUUCAGUCCCAGUUCACAUCGUUCAAAGGAGAUUGGUUGGAACAGUCCAAACCACACAAUAAUACACCAGAAAGUGUUUUAGUAGCCAGCAUUGAAGCACCACAGAUAGCAAGCGAACUUGAUAAUUUAAGAGAUUAUAUAGGAAAUGCAUUGGAAAAAUUUAGAUCUGCUAUGGAAAACAAUAGAUCUUCAUUAGAUACAGCAAAAUCAGCUGUUGAACAGUUGCUGAUCUCAGAAGG
This is a long non-coding RNA of Mytilus californianus (California mussel), 512 nucleotides long. RefSeq lists it as uncharacterized. The transcript has 4 exons. Lineage: Eukaryota; Metazoa; Mollusca; Bivalvia; Mytilida; Mytilidae. The record is from RefSeq and is a predicted model, not a curated record.